Molecule: long non-coding RNA, 3631 nt
Organism: Balaenoptera musculus (blue whale)
Lineage: Eukaryota; Metazoa; Chordata; Mammalia; Artiodactyla; Balaenopteridae
Exons: 2
Source: RefSeq, a predicted model, not a curated record
UCUAAAUGCUGAGGAUUCAGCAGUGAACACAUCGGGCAAGAAUUCCUAUCUUUAUGCAGCUUACCGUCAGUUGAGGGAGGGGGCAACAGAUAAAUAUAUAAAUAUAUACAGGGUGUCAGAUGAGAAGUGCUAUGGUGACAAGUAGCUGGGAAGGGGGCAUGGGAAGUGACAGGUGGAGGUGGUCACAAUUUUAAAUGGAACAGUCAGGAUGGACUCACUGAGAGGACUACACCUGAGCAGGUUCAAGCCAAUGCAGAGGAGGUUUCCAAGCAGGGGAACAGCUUGAGCAAAGGCCCUGAGGCAGGAGUGCACCCCUCAUGUUCCAGGAACAGCAAGGAGGCCAGUGAACAAUGAACGAGGAGGUAUCUGGGACCAAGUGCCACAUACAUGGGGGCCUCAUUCACCACGUGUCACCACAGCCUGGAGUUCUAUCCCGCACAGAGCCAGCGCUCCAGUGAACUAAUUCAUGGAGGUCCCCAGGGAGAACUGCCUGCUCCCUCCUCAGAGUCCGCUACCUGUCUUCCAUCUGAGAUGUCCUCCCGGGUGCUGACAUCUGGCUCCUUCAGACCUCAGCUCCUGACCCUGGAUGUUCCCCAGGAGCCCAGCCCACCCUCAAGGGAGGGAGACGGGGUGUGCAGAUGCUCGGGGCACGGGUGUCCAUGUGGUCUUCGGCCAAGCUGUCAGGUUCCGCGCUACCCUUGCUCUGGUCCAGGUCUCUUCAGCCAGUAGUCAGGGCGGCAAUGUGUAAAGAAGAGGCUGGGCCAAGGGACAGUUGUACUGCCUUUAUUCCCCUUCACUCUUCUCCUCACCCUCCUGUUGUCCCCCACACGCUCUGGGGCUGUGGGGUGGCCACAUAGGGCCAGACAUCAAGGGUCCACAUGCCCGGGCACAGCCGUUCUGCCACCGAGCCCCCCUGAGGGGUGCCAUGUUGGCCGUGGUGGAACGCAUCAGGGUCGGAGGCUCAGGUUCUGCCCCCGGCCCGGGUUCCUAGGGCUCACCUCUCUGGCCACUCACCUCCAGCUGGCCCAAGACCAGGGAGUACAAGGGGAGCCGGGGAGGGGGCAGGCCCAGGUUCUGGGCUUGAGGUCUUGGCCAAUUGGGCUGAGAAGUCCAGCUGGACAGAGGGACGCCCUGGCAGAUCUCCAGUGGGAGGUGAUGAUCCCAAGCCCCCUCCCCACCACCAGCCCUGGGAAGUGGGUAUGGUGCCCAGUCCCCUCGCUCCAAUACCCAGGUGCUUGUUAAUUUAACAAUUAAAAAGGAAAUGUAAAAGCUGGUAAAACAAGAACCCCUAUCCAUACUGGCACUGCUGAGGUACCAUUAUUGCUUCAGACCCUUGUGGUCUGGCCAGAAAGGAGCUCCCACCAACACUGGCCCAAGGGGAAGAGAGCAUUUAGCACCGGGGACACAGGGUUCCUGUCCCCGCUGGGGUAGGGGCCUCCCAGGAGAGGGGUUGGCCGUGCCCACCUACAGCUACAAUGACCAUUUGACCAGUGCCCAGCCUGCUGUCUGGACCCCUCUUGUGCCCUGAGAGGGGAAGCGUACAAGGACAGGAGACCCAAGUCCUGGGACAGGGUCUUGCUACCAGCUCCCCACACCCAUCUCCAGCCUCUGCUUGUCAAAGUCUGGCCUCAUGGACCAGAGGCGCAGCCUGGCCAGGGCCCCCUAGGCUCACUAAGGCUGCAGGGAGGGCAGCAGGUGACAGGGCCACCAGCCCCUAUGGGAGACCCCAGCGUCAGCAACAGGGGGUGGGAAACUCAUUGGAGUCCCAGCCUACAGCCCAUUCGGGGAGAUCAGACUUUUCUUAGGAAAAUGUGGGCCAGCUCUGAAGCUGCCAGGCACUGGGACCAGAGGUUAGAAAUAGCAAAGGGAAGGGGGGAGCAGGGAGGGGAGGACCCUGAGGACGUCAUGGAAGCCCAGAGAUCAAGGGGUGCAGGAGAGGAAAAGAGCUACAGUAAAGCAGGAGCCUGAGAGGCGCAGCACUGACCCCAUAAGAGGCUGGAAUUCCCAGCCUUGGUGUGGGGGGAGCCUCAGUCCUGGGAGCCAGGCAGGGAGCUUUCCCCUCUCGGGGAGGGGACCACUUUUUCUCCCCAAAGGACAGCAGGGGCGUCUGAGGGUGCGUACGUAGACUCUGGCUUGCACUGUUCCUGCUACAGCCCCAAACUCAACCGGGCCAGGGCACUGCCCCCUCUAAGCCCAGAGAACCAUCUGGGCUGUGUGGCUUGGAUUCUAAAUCCUCAAAUCACUCGGGCUCCUUGGGCUUGCCCACAUCUGUACAUAAUAAAGUGCUUUGUUUAUUGAUGAUUAAAAUGUCCCCAGCCCCCUGCCCCAGUGCCAUGGGCCUUACAAGGAGGUCAGAGGGGUCCUGACCCCCUCAGCCCUUGGGCUGGUGGGGCCAGUCCCCCCAACCCGCCCCCUGGGCUCAGGCCUCUUCCCACUCCAGCCAUGCUGGGAAGGUGGUGAUGCGGGGGCAGUCGAGGGGUUUAAGGUGCAAAGAGUAUAACAGACAAAACUGUAUAAACACAAUAGGAAAGAGCUUAACUAGGAAACAGGUAGCUUAUGGAACCUUCCUCCCCAUUUCAAAGGCAGGAAUAGAGACGUUAAAUGACAACGAAAAAGGAUGUCCUAUUAGUGCUGGCCUCGUGAGGGCAAGCGUUGGGCACAGGCUGGGUGGGGCUCUCCCGGUACCCCCGACCCCGACCCCCAGGGCCUGAUCAUGCAGGCUCCUCGCCCCACCCAUGAGCAGAGGCGCAGGAGGGACGAGGCCGCUGGACACCAGCCAGGGGCAGGCUGUGGCCAGGCCCAGGGAGUGGCUGAGGCCUGUGCUGCCUUCCAGGAGCAGAGACAGACGCAGACACAGACAUCUCUAGCGUGGGAGAUUUGGCUGGGGCAGCUGCUGAGGGAUGGGCUGCUCCGUGAACAGCUGCCCUGCCCCCUGCCCCACUGAUAGCACCUUGAAACCUCAGAACAUCUGCCCGAGCCUGCUCCUUAGGGCCCCAGCCCCUGGGGUCCACCCAUGUGCAGGGGCUCCUGGGCUGCAGUACCUGGGGGCUGAUGCUGUGGGAGCCAGCCCGUCUGCCCACCCAGGGCCCGGCCCACCACACCCUGAGGCCCGGCAGCUCCUGGGGACAUCUUCCCCAGGACCCAGGGCCCUCGGUGCAGCCGGGAGCAGGUCGGGGAUGCCAUGGGGAAAGCAAAUGCCUGGGGUCCAGCCCCCGCCCGCCCCCCUCCCCACGGUGCGCAGCUGCAGUCGGUGCACCUCGCCACGCACGCCCACCCCACACAACCCCCCGGCGUCCGGGCCCAAGUCCCUGCCUCGGCAUCCGCAGCCCUCACGGUGGGCCCACAAGUCCUCCAAAGGGGGACGGCACCCCAACUUUUCCCCAAACCCUCCGGGAUGAGGGGCGAGUGAGGGGGCCCAGGAGGGGCGGGGAUGAGCAGCUGAAGGUGACCUGGGCUGGGCCUGGCCACGCCCCUCUGGCUGAGGCCUCGGCGGAGUGACCAGUCACACCUGCUCCCCAGGUCCCUCCCCACCCGUACCUGCUGCCUCCAGCGCCCCCCUCACCUGGAGGGGGAUGCUGUCAAGAGUUUCCUCUCUUGUCGUUUUCCUUCACUUCCAAAAAACAAACAAACA